Lactuca sativa (garden lettuce) is the source of this 1033-nucleotide non-coding RNA. NCBI's taxonomy places the organism in Eukaryota, Viridiplantae, Streptophyta, Magnoliopsida, Asterales, Asteraceae. The record is from RefSeq and is a predicted model, not a curated record.
UCUCUGUAAAAUUUAAAAAUAUCAAAAAACAUAAACACGAGUUUAACCAAAAAUAGAACAAUAUGAGUAAUUGUGUAAUAUCAAUUAAACAUCCAUAGGUAACAACAGUUGUUCACUCACAACCUUAAUAAUCUAGAAAAAUUUCAAGUACUUAUUUGCCCACAAUUGUGUUGCAUUUAGUCAUUGCAUUGAUUUUGCUAAAGUUAAUCUUUUUCUUAUUAUAGAGGAGUGUAUUUAAAUGCUUGUAUAAAACUGUUAAUUAUGACAUGGAUGGAGUAUCAAAUUCUUAUGUAACAAAUAUCUUAACCUUAAGUCAUUGGUAUAUCAUAUAUGAAUUAAUAAAAAUAUUAUCUUUUUAUAUCAUACAUGGAUAUGUAAGUCAAUUCAAAUAAAUUGCAAACUUACUUGUUAUUGCUAUUGAAAAGCACAAGGGAAACAGGUUGCUGAGGUGACAGGUAAAACAACUGCACGACUAUGUACACACAUGUACCAAUGCUGUGAAAGAGUUAUAUGAAGUGAGACAAAACUUGAUUGGGGUUUUUUGAACGGUUUGAAAACUUCGUUGGGCUUUUAAGUCAUUUUCCCUUUAUGUUUUGGAUCAUACGGAUAAAGUGACAAUCAUGAAAGAGAUGUCGAUCCAUGAUGCUAUCCCACACCUAGCAAUUCAACCAUUUAAUAUUGUCAACUUUACAUUGCAAUUUGCAAGUGAAAGAAAAGCAUGAGAAAAGAUUGAAGAUUAAAAGAGAAGAAAAUUUACGCGGAGAAUAAUUGGGAAUGGAAUUGUGAUCCAUCAACAAUAAGCACAUAAACAAAAGUUCCCAGCAUCAAGCAGCCAAGUGCAGAAAUGAUUACUCUUGUAGUUAAAAUAGAAGGUCCCCUCUUGUAUCCCAUUAUGGCAUCCCUAAGCCAAUGUAUAAAUAAUUUUAAAAACAUCGUUUUACGUGAUGUGAUUUCAAGCUCAAAUGCAUGUAUCAUUUUGCAACCAAGCAUUUAUUAUCAUUGGACAAAAUAAGAAGGAUAUGUGGAAUGACAA